This 281-nucleotide ribosomal RNA is filed under the name unidentified marine bacterioplankton. Its description in RNAcentral is "partial 16S ribosomal RNA". It matches the Rfam family "Bacterial small subunit ribosomal RNA", at positions 29 to 339 of the family's 1533-position model. The record is from RNAcentral.
AAUGAACGCUGGCGGCAGGCCUAACACAUGCAAGUCGAGCGAAGUCUUCGGACUUAGCGGCGGACGGGUGAGUAACGCGUGGAACAUACCCUUUGGUACGGAAUAGCCGUCGGGAAACUGGGAGUAAUACCGUAUGUGCCCUUCGGGGGAAAGAUUUAUCGGCCAAAGGAUUGGCCCGCGUUGGAUUAGGUAGUGUGGGUAAUGGCCUACCAAGCCGACGAUCCAUAGCUGGUUUGAGAGGAUGAUCAGCCACACUGGGACUGAGACACGGCCCAGAUUCC